RNAcentral lists this ribosomal RNA (292 nucleotides) under uncultured bacterium. RNAcentral's name for it is "partial 16S ribosomal RNA". It matches the Rfam family "Bacterial small subunit ribosomal RNA", at positions 505 to 796 of the family's 1533-position model. The record is from RNAcentral.
GUGUCAGCAGCCGCGGUAAUACGAACUGUGCAAACGUUAUUCGGAAUCACUGGGCUUAAAGGGUGCGUAGGCGGCUCGUUAGGUAGGGUGUGAAAGCCCCCGGCUCAACCGGGGAAUUGCGCCCUAAACCGGCGGGCUAGAGUGAGAUAGGGGUGUGUGGAACUUCCGGUGGAGCGGUGAAAUGUGUUGAUAUCGGAAGGAACGCCGGUGGCGAAAGCGACACACUGGGUCUCAACUGACGCUGAGGCACGAAAGCCAGGGGAGCAAACGGGAUUAGAAACCCCAGUAGUCC